Molecule: small nuclear RNA, 22 nt
Filed under: Arabidopsis thaliana (thale cress)
Lineage: Eukaryota; Viridiplantae; Streptophyta; Magnoliopsida; Brassicales; Brassicaceae
Description: snRNA_11384
Source: RNAcentral
AAACCAGCGGAUGCGAUAGUAA